RNAcentral lists this ribosomal RNA (527 nucleotides) under Boophis englaenderi. Its description in RNAcentral is "partial 16S ribosomal RNA". It matches the Rfam family "Bacterial large subunit ribosomal RNA", at positions 1854 to 2597 of the family's 2925-position model. The record is from RNAcentral. Lineage: Eukaryota; Metazoa; Chordata; Amphibia; Anura; Mantellidae.
CAGCCUGCCCAGUGAAUAGAUUUAACGGCCGCGGUACUCUAACCGUGCAAAGGUAGCAUAAUCACUUGUUCUUUAAAUGAGGACUAGAAUCAACGGCACCACGAGGAUCACACUGUCUCCUCACUCCAAUCAAUGAAACUGAUCUCCCCGUGAAGAAGCGGGAAUACAAAUAUAAGACGAGAAGACCCCAUGGAGCUUUAAACCCAACAACACCCACUUAUUUUUACCCUUAUACUCAUUAUGGCCCUGUUUGUUUGGUUUUAGGUUGGGGUGACCGCGGAGCAUAAAACAACCUCCACGAAAAAUGGACCAACAAUCCUUAUCAAAGAAGUACACUUCUAUGAAUUAACAAAUUAAUUUUUAAUGAUCCGAUAUUCGAUCAACGAACCAAGUUACCCUGGGGAUAACAGCGCAAUCCACCUUAAGAGCUCCUAUCGACAGGUGGGUUUACGACCUCGAUGUUGGAUCAGGGUAUCCUAGUGGUGCAGCAGCUACUAACGGUUCGUUUGUUCAACGAUUAAAACCCU